This is a long non-coding RNA of Frieseomelitta varia, 1007 nucleotides long. RefSeq lists it as uncharacterized. The record is from RefSeq and is a predicted model, not a curated record. The transcript has 3 exons. NCBI's taxonomy places the organism in Eukaryota, Metazoa, Arthropoda, Insecta, Hymenoptera, Apidae.
UGGCUGGAAGCCGGAACUGAAGAGCGCACCUCCUUCUAGUUGAGUCGCUCGUUCGAGUUAUUCGAGCCGAGAAAGAGAGAAAUAGAGAUCGAGCGGGAGGUAGACAAAGAGGUAGCGAGAAGAAGACAGAAAAAGAGUGUAUAUGGUGUGUGUGUGAGAGAGAGAGAGAGAGAAAGAUGACCAGACAAAAAGAAAGAGGGACACAGGUAGAAAGAGCGAGGGAGCGAGGAAGAUAGAGAGAGAGAGAGAGAGAGAGAGGGAGCGAGAUAUUGGCUUAUUUAUAAACGCAAGAUAAAGCGUGGCAGUGCCGUGAGAGGAAGCCGUUCGAGCAUGGCUCCCACGCUUCUAGAUACGCAUUACGUAUGCGCCUUAGCCUUUCGACUCCUACAUCGCACAACCGCCCAAAUGGACAACCAUGGAACCAUCAUUAUCCGUUAAUGCAUAUAUGGGUCUGUCGUGUACCAGUUUGUUUCCUACAUCAGGAUUUUUAACUGCUAUAGUCGAAUAGUUUUAUAAUUCGCAAAUGCAACAGAGUGUACCAUUUAAUCCUUAAUCAGACGACAUUCUAAUCCUUACAUCCUAAUAUUUCCAAAGAAGAAACCACAGAAAGGUUGGGAACCGGCGAGAUGGAGGAAGAGGAGAACGAGCGGAACUGAGGUCCGUGGAGCUUCCUUUCCUUCGGACAUGCCUCGCUGCUUCUUCGUCCUAUCCCACAGAUUACGAACAACUCUGCUCUCUUUCUGUCUUCCUUCAGCUAUCUCUGUUAUCUCAGUUGUCUCUGUCGUGAAUGCGACGAUACAGUAACCACGACAAUGCUGAUCGCUAUUAUGACCGUCUCGGCCUCGAAAGUAGGAACUACGUUCGACGCACCUACUUCCUGGACGACCAUCACCAACGCGCUGCUUCUCUUCAUCAGUUCACAACCUCACCGAUCUCCGUUGGAUUUUCUUUCUACCAGCGCAACGAUUUCUUUUCAAUCGUUUAAGCGUUUCAAGCGAGGAUUAAUA